RNAcentral lists this ribosomal RNA (532 nucleotides) under uncultured Glomeromycotina. RNAcentral's name for it is "SSU rRNA". It matches the Rfam family "Eukaryotic small subunit ribosomal RNA", at positions 569 to 1105 of the family's 1831-position model. Lineage: Eukaryota; Fungi; Glomeromycota. The record is from RNAcentral.
AGCAGCCGCGGUAAUUCCAGCUCCAAUAGCGUAUAUUAAAGUUGUUGCAGUUAAAAGCUCGUAGUUGAAUUUCGGGGUCAGUAGGUUGGUCAUGCCACUGGUAUGUACUGGUCUCACUGAUUCCUCCUUCCUGAUGAACUGUAAUGCCAUUAAUUUGGUGUUGCAGGGAAUCUGGACUGUUACUUUGAAAAAGUUAGAGUGUUUAAAGCAGGCUAACGCCUGAAUACAUUAGCAUGGAAUAAUGAAAUAGGACGUUCGAUCCUAUUUUGUUGGUUUCUAGGAUUGACGUAAUGAUUAAUAGGUUCAGUCGGGGGUGUCAGUAUUCCGUUGUCAGAGGUGAAAUUCUUGGAUUUACGGAAGACUAACUACUGCGAAAGCAUUCACCAAGGAUGUUUUCAUUAAUCAGUGAACGAAAGUUAGGGGAUCGAAGACGAUCAGAUACCGUCGUAGUCUUAACCAUAAACUAUGCCGACUAGGGAUCGGGCGAUGUUAUCUUUUUGACUCGCUCGGCACCUUACGAGAAAUCAAAGUG